RNAcentral lists this microRNA precursor (126 nucleotides) under Myotis brandtii (Brandt's bat). RNAcentral's name for it is "mir-9193 microRNA precursor family". It matches the Rfam family "mir-9193 microRNA precursor family". Lineage: Eukaryota; Metazoa; Chordata; Mammalia; Chiroptera; Vespertilionidae. The record is from Rfam by way of RNAcentral.
CGUGCACCAGUGGGGUCUCUCGGCCUGGCCUGCGCCCUCUAGCAAUCCGGGACCCCUCGGGGGAUGUUGGAGAGCCGGUUUCGGCCCGAUCCCGCAGGCCAGGCCGAGGGACCCCACUGGUGCACA